UACGGAGGGGGCUAGCGUUGUUCGGAAUUACUGGGCGUAAAGCGCACGUAGGCGGCUUCGCAAGUCAGCGGUGAAAGCCCGGGGCUCAACCCCGGAACUGCCUUUGAGACUGCGUGGCUCGAAUCCGGGAGAGGCGGGUGGAAUUCCUGGUGUAGAGGUGAAAUGCGUAGAUAUUAGGAAGAACACCAGUGGCGAAGGCGGGCCGCUGGGCCGGCACUGACGCUGAGGUGCGAAAGCGUGGGGAGCAAACAGG
RNAcentral lists this ribosomal RNA (253 nucleotides) under uncultured bacterium. RNAcentral's name for it is "partial 16S ribosomal RNA". It matches the Rfam family "Bacterial small subunit ribosomal RNA", at positions 524 to 776 of the family's 1533-position model. The record is from RNAcentral.